RNAcentral lists this ribosomal RNA (253 nucleotides) under uncultured bacterium. Its description in RNAcentral is "partial 16S ribosomal RNA". It matches the Rfam family "Bacterial small subunit ribosomal RNA", at positions 524 to 776 of the family's 1533-position model. The record is from RNAcentral.
UACGUAGGGGGCAAGCGUUGUCCGGAUUUAUUGGGCGUAAAGAACGUGUAGGCGGCCAAGCAGGUCAGCUGUGAAAACUCGAGGCUCAACCUCGAGACGUCGGUUGAAACCGCUUGGCUAGAGUCCGGAAGAGGAGAGUGGAAUUCCCGGUGUAGCGGUGAAAUGCGCAGAUAUCGGGAAGGACACCCGUGGCGAAGGCGGCUCUCUGGGACGGUACUGACGCUGAGACGCGAAAGCGUGGGGAGCGAACAGG